ACAUGGUAUGCCAAUCUCCCUAGGAGUACUGGGCGGGUUCGUGAUCAAGAGGCUGACAUACGUGAGUGGGCUGCCAAGCGAGAUUUAAUCGCUCAGCAAAUGUGGACAGAUAGAGAGAGUGCACGUGACAAUGAGGCUGAUGCUAUCCCAGCUUAGUAUCUUUGAUGUAUUUCCAUGUGAUGGAACAUUUGAAGGAUGUACUGUACACUGUACCUUUGAUGUAUUUCCAUGUGAGGGAACAUUUGAAGGAUGUAUUGUACCUUUGAUGUAUU
Molecule: long non-coding RNA, 272 nt
Filed under: Triticum aestivum (bread wheat)
Lineage: Eukaryota; Viridiplantae; Streptophyta; Magnoliopsida; Poales; Poaceae
Description: long non-coding RNA (TAES_LNC005735)
Source: RNAcentral